GGAUUAGAGGGUGAUCUGGUUGAAGCAUCUUUUACAAUACUGAUCACCAGGGUUGAUUCAGCUGACCUGACUGGAUAAGUGGGGUCCACUUCCUCCCUAAUCUCUCCAUGUGCAUCCCUCCCAAAGUUGUGUAUUGAGUCUGAAUGAUCCUCCUCAAUAUAGGAGGCCUCUUUCAGUCAAAAGUAUAGGAGUAGUAGAGCUUUCCUCUAGAAAGUUCAAACAAGCCAAAUCUCAUAGUCAUUAAAAAAUAUGUCCUGAU
Molecule: small nuclear RNA, 259 nt
Filed under: Nannospalax galili (Upper Galilee mountains blind mole rat)
Lineage: Eukaryota; Metazoa; Chordata; Mammalia; Rodentia; Spalacidae
Description: 7SK RNA (ENSNGAG00000004204.1)
Rfam family: 7SK RNA
About the family: 7SK was discovered as an abundant small nuclear RNA in the mid-70s but a possible function has only recently been suggested. Two independent studies have found that 7SK RNA binds the CDK9/cyclin T complex (known as elongation factor P-TEFb).
Source: Rfam by way of RNAcentral